GCUACUCUCUUGUUCGUCGGGUGCCUUGCUGUGGUGGGACAAUGUAAGCAUAACACCGUCUUAUCAUUAUUUUACAUACAUACAUACAUUGAUGCCUUCAAAUCUACAAUUGUUGUAGAGGCAUAUGUACUGGCCGUACAUUGUUGUGUUCUAACAUGCAUAUUGCCGAUGUGAUGGGUCGUCUUGUGGCUACAAGAAGCAACCAAGAACAUCCUCAUGCCAACAUAACGGCAAACGCUACCGCCGUGGAUUCAUCGCUGAAUGAAAGCAAAAUCACGUUGAAGUGGUGUGUGAGGAGGGACUGCGAUCAUCCAAAGGACCCGUUCGUCUGGAAAAACUGUUACUGCUGUGUCACGCAGCCGGGCAGUCCGUGUUGGCGUCAUGUGAAUGAAUGUCAAGCAAAUUGCCCAUCGUGUCAUCCUGAUUGCCCGCCUGCAUCAGCAAUCGAGCUACACGCAUAAAUGAAUGUAUGCGUACUUGCGUCGUUAGUAAUUUUAUAAAGCUGGCCCGGGAAAGUCUUCAUCAAAUAAAGUACGUAGUGUGCUGCUCAUGACCUCAUUCAUGUACGCAACAUAUAUUUCACUCUAGUCUAUCUAUCUGUAUAUAUAUUUCAGGUUUGCAUCAUAUCACACAGUAGACCGAAUAUAUGCAACUUGUUUGCGGACAGUAUAUUAUUUGCUUUGUCGCCGGAUGUACGAAAACAAGGUGGUCAUGGAGAAUGAUCCAUGAAAAGUACUCCUAUAGUAUUAUUUUUGAACUGCGAUCCAUGGAAAG
This 774-nucleotide long non-coding RNA is filed under the name Triticum aestivum (bread wheat). Its description in RNAcentral is "long non-coding RNA (TAES_LNC026198)". The record is from RNAcentral. Lineage: Eukaryota; Viridiplantae; Streptophyta; Magnoliopsida; Poales; Poaceae.